This 253-nucleotide ribosomal RNA is filed under the name uncultured bacterium. Its description in RNAcentral is "partial 16S ribosomal RNA". It matches the Rfam family "Bacterial small subunit ribosomal RNA", at positions 524 to 776 of the family's 1533-position model. The record is from RNAcentral.
UACGUAGGAGGCGAGCGUUGUCCGGAUUUACUGGGCGUAAAGGGCGCGCAGGCGGCACGAUAAGUAAGGUGUGAAAUCUCCCUGCUCAACGGGGAGGGAGCACUUUAGACUGUCGAGCUAGAGGUGGGUAGAGGGUGGUGGAAUUGCUGGUGUAGCGGUGAAAUGCGUAGAGAUCAGCAGGAACACCCGUGGCGAAGGCGGCCACCUGGGCCUAACCUGACGCUGAGGCGCGAAGGCUAGGGGAGCGAACGGG